Molecule: transfer RNA, 59 nt
Filed under: Microthrixaceae bacterium
Lineage: Bacteria; Bacillati; Actinomycetota; Acidimicrobiia; Acidimicrobiales; Microthrixaceae
Description: tRNA-Arg
Rfam family: tRNA
About the family: Transfer RNA (tRNA) molecules are approximately 80 nucleotides in length. Their secondary structure includes four short double-helical elements and three loops (D, anti-codon, and T loops). Further hydrogen bonds mediate the characteristic L-shaped molecular structure. tRNAs have two regions of fundamental functional importance: the anti-codon, which is responsible for specific mRNA codon recognition, and the 3' end, to which the tRNAs corresponding amino acid is attached (by aminoacyl-tRNA synthetases). tRNAs cope with the degeneracy of the genetic code in two manners: having more than one tRNA (with a specific anti-codon) for a particular amino acid; and 'wobble' base-pairing, i.e. permitting non-standard base-pairing at the 3rd anti-codon position.
Source: RNAcentral
AGCUCAACUGGAUAGAGCACCAGACUUCUAAUCUGACGGUUGCAGGUUCGAGUCCUGCC